RNAcentral lists this ribosomal RNA (535 nucleotides) under uncultured bacterium. Its description in RNAcentral is "partial 16S ribosomal RNA". It matches the Rfam family "Bacterial small subunit ribosomal RNA", at positions 355 to 899 of the family's 1533-position model. The record is from RNAcentral.
UGGGGAAUAUUGCACAAUGGGCGCAAGCCUGAUGCAGCAACGCCGCGUGAGGGAUGACGGCCUUCGGGUUGUAAACCUCUUUUAGUAGGGAAGAAGCGAAAGUGACGGUACCUGCAGAAAAAGCACCGGCUAACUACGUGCCAGCAGCCGCGGUAAUACGUAGGGUGCGAGCGUUGUCCGGAAUUAUUGGGCGUAAAGAGCUCGUAGGCGGUCUGUCGCGUCUGCUGUGAAAACCCGAGGCUCAACCUCGGGCCUGCAGUGGGUACGGGCAGACUAGAGUGCGGUAGGGGAGAAUGGAAUUCCUGGUGUAGCGGUGGAAUGCGCAGAUAUCAGGAGGAACACCGAUGGCGAAGGCAGUUCUCUGGGCCGUAACUGACGCUGAGGAGCGAAAAGCGUGGGGAGCGAACAGGAUUAGAUACCCUGGUAGUCCACGCCGUAAACGUUGGGCGCUAGAUGUGGGGACCAUUCCACGGUUUCCGUGUCGCAGCUAACGCAUUAAGCGCCCCGCCUGGGGAGUACGGCCGCAAGGCUAAAA